GCCUUUACUGACGCUAAAGCUCGAAGGUGCGGGUAUCGAACAGGAUUAGAUACCCUGGUAGUCCGCACGGUAAACGAUGGGUGCCCGCUGUUCGCGAUAUACAGUGAGCGGCCAAGAGAAAUCGUUAAGCAUCCCACCUGGGGAGUACGCCGGCAACGGUGAAACUCAAAGGAAUUGACGGGGGCCCGCACAAGCGGAGGAACAUGUGGUUUAAUUCGAUGAUACGCGAGGAACCUUACCCGGGCUUGAACUGCAGGAGAAGGAAACAGAGAUGUUGACGCCCUUCGGGGCUCCUGUGGAGGUGCUGCAUGGUUGUCGUCAGCUCGUGCCGUGAGGUGUCGGCUUAAGUGCCAUAACGAGCGCAACCCUUUUCGUCAGUUGCCAUCAGGUGAUGCUGGGCACUCUGGCGACACUGCCACCGUAAGGUGUGAGGAAGGUGGGGAUGACGUCAAAUCAGCACGGCCCUUACGUCCGGGGCUACACACGUGUUACAAUGGGGCAUACAGAAGGCCGGUCGCCCGCAAGAGCGAUCCAAUCUAAAAAGUGUCCCUCAGUUCGGAUUGGGGUCUGCAACCCGACCCCAUGAAGCUGGAUUCGCUAG
This 601-nucleotide ribosomal RNA is filed under the name uncultured bacterium. RNAcentral's name for it is "bacterial SSU rRNA". It matches the Rfam family "Bacterial small subunit ribosomal RNA", at positions 733 to 1338 of the family's 1533-position model. The record is from RNAcentral.